GGGGUUGUGGCCCAGUGGUAGAGCACUUGGCUAGUAUACAAGAGGUCCUGGGUUCGAUCCUCAGCACCA
RNAcentral lists this transfer RNA (69 nucleotides) under Ictidomys tridecemlineatus (thirteen-lined ground squirrel). RNAcentral describes it as "Spermophilus tridecemlineatus (thirteen-lined ground squirrel) tRNA". It matches the Rfam family "tRNA". Rfam says of the family: Transfer RNA (tRNA) molecules are approximately 80 nucleotides in length. Their secondary structure includes four short double-helical elements and three loops (D, anti-codon, and T loops). Further hydrogen bonds mediate the characteristic L-shaped molecular structure. tRNAs have two regions of fundamental functional importance: the anti-codon, which is responsible for specific mRNA codon recognition, and the 3' end, to which the tRNAs corresponding amino acid is attached (by aminoacyl-tRNA synthetases). tRNAs cope with the degeneracy of the genetic code in two manners: having more than one tRNA (with a specific anti-codon) for a particular amino acid; and 'wobble' base-pairing, i.e. permitting non-standard base-pairing at the 3rd anti-codon position. The record is from Rfam by way of RNAcentral. Lineage: Eukaryota; Metazoa; Chordata; Mammalia; Rodentia; Sciuridae.